This 402-nucleotide ribosomal RNA is filed under the name uncultured bacterium. RNAcentral's name for it is "partial 16S ribosomal RNA". It matches the Rfam family "Bacterial small subunit ribosomal RNA", at positions 29 to 526 of the family's 1533-position model. The record is from RNAcentral.
AUUGAACGCUGGCGGCAGGCUUAACACAUGCAAGUCGAACGAGUGGCGGACGGGUGAGUAAUGCUUGGGAAUCUAGCUUAUGGAGGGGGAUAACUACGGGAAACUGUAGCUAAUACCGCGUACCAUAGGCUGAGCCCAAGUGGGAUUAGGUAGUUGGUGAGGUAAAGGCUCACCAAGCCGACGAUCUCUAGCUGGUCUGAGAGGAUGACCAGCCAUAGUGGGACUAAGACACGGAGCAGACUACGACGGGCGGCAGCAGGGGGGAAUAUGGCGCAAUGGGGGGAACCUGACGCAGCCAUGCGGCGUGAAUGAAGAAGGCCGUCGGGUUGUAAAGUUCUUUCGGGAGCGAGGCGUUAACUACAGAAGAAGCACCGGCUAACGCCGUGCCAGCCGCGGUAAUAC